GUAAAAGCGCUAUAUAAAUAAAUUUGACUUGACUUGAUUUGACUUGUUACCGGGUGAGCCAGUGCCUAGGGGAAGGAUCUACCCCCUGUCAGUGCCGGAGGAGAAGGCCAUGGAAGAAUACAUCGAAGAGGCCCUUAACCAAGGAUACAUCCGCCCGUCUACUUCCCCUGCUGCUUCAAGUUUCUUCUUCGUGGCAAAAAAGGACGGAGGCUUGCGGCCCUGCAUUGAUUAUCGUUCCCUAAACAAGAUUACAGUUAAGUUCCGGUACCCACUUCCCCUCGUCCCAGCGGCCCUGGAACAUCUCCGUGGUGCCACUGUGUUCACUAAGCUGAACCUCCGCAGCUCGUACAACCUCAUCCGGAUACGCGAGGGGGACGAGUGGAAGACCGCCUUCGUCACGCCCACCGGCCAUUAUGAAUAUCUGGUCAUGCCCUAUGGACUUGUCAACGCCCCCUCCGUAUUCCAGGAUUUCAUUCAUGAGGUGCUCCGGGAGUUCCUCCACAAGUUUGUACUGGUGUACAUAGAUGACAUCCUUAUCUACUCCCGGAGCCUGGCCGAACAUCGCCACCACGUUGCGGAGGUCCUCCAACGCUUACGGCAAUUUCACCUAUUCCUCAAGGCAGAAAAGUGCUCCUUUCACCAACCCUCAGUCCAUUUCCUGGGAUACUUAAUUGAUCACAGUGGCAUCCAGAUGGACGAGGGGAAGGUAGAAGCCAUCAAGUCCUGGCCCAUUCCCACAACCAUCAAAGAACUCCAACGUUUCCUAGGCUUCGCCAAUUUCUACCGCCGCUUUAUCAAGAACUACAGCUCCAUUAUCCACCCACUCACCAACCUCCUCCGUCACCAGCCCAAGUCUCUGUCCUGGUCCGAAGAUGCCACCAACGCCUUCGAAGCCCUCAAGAGUGCCUUCACCACCGCUCCCCUCCUCGUCCAUCCGGACCUUGACCUGCCAUUUGUCGUGGAAGUGGACGCCUCCACCACAGGAGUGGGAGCGGUACCGUCCGCCACUGAGAUCUCGUAACCAUACAAAACUGACAGCCUUUGUCUACAAAAUCUCGUAUGAAAACGAAGGAAUGAAAGCGGCUGUCUUUUGAAAGCUUAUAACUGAACAAACCCCACCACCACUAAGAUUGCAUAACCUAACAAAACCGGCCAUUAGUGAAAUCUCGUGACAGAACAAAACUGACCGCCUUUGUCUUUGAAAUCUCGUAAGACAGCGAAGUAUCAAAACUGUCCAUCUUUUGAAAGCUCAUGACAGAACAAAAUCCCACUGCCACUGAGAUUGCGUAACCAAACAAAACCGGCGAUCAGUGUAAUCUCGUGACAGAACAAAACCGACCGCCUUUGUCUUCGAAAUCUCAUGAAAGAGCGAAAAAAAUGGCCGUCUUUUGAAAGCUCAUGACAGAACAAAGCCGACCGCCACUGAGAUCUCGUAACCGUACAAAACAGAUGGCCUUUGUCUCCAAAAUCUCUUAAGUGAGCGAAGGAACAAAAGCGGCCAUCUUUUGAAAGCUAUCCUACCGCCACUGAGAUUGCGUAACCUAACAAAACCGGCUGCCACUGAGAUCUCGUAACCGAACAAAACCGAUGGCCUUUGUCUUCAAAAUCUCGGAAGCGAAGGAACAAAAGCGGCUGUCUUUUGAAAGCUUGUAACUGAACAAACCACACCACCACUGAGACCGCGUAACCUAUCAAAACCAGCCAUCAGUGAAAUCUUGUGACAAAAGAAAACCGACCACCUUUGUCUUCGAAAUCUCGUAAGAGAGCGAAGGAACAAAACCGGCCAUCUUUUGAAAGCUCAUGACUGAACAAAGCUCACCGUCACUGAGAUUGCGUAAUCUAACAAAACCGGCCCAAUGAAAUUUCGUGACAUAACAAAACUGAUGGCCUUUGUCUUCGAAAUCUCGUAAGAGCACAAAGGAACAAAACCGGCCGUCCUUUGAAGGUUCAUGACAAAUCAAAGCCGUCCACCACUGAGAUCUCGUAACCAAACAAAACCGAUGGCCUUUGUCUUUGAAAUCUCGUAAGAGAGCAAAGGAACAAAACUGGCUGUCUUUUGAAAGCUCAUGACAGAACAAAGCCGACUGCCACUGAGAUCGUGUAACUGAACAAAGUAAGAGAGUGAAGGAACAAACAAAACUCUUUCGAAGAUUGUUUACCGAUUCAAUUAUCUUUUUUUAAUCUCAUUCUUUCUGCGUGAACUGAGUACAUAACACUUACAGGCAUACUUUUAAAUUUCAGUUUUCACAAUUAUUUAUUCUCUCUCUCUCUCUCUCUCUCUCUCUCUUUCUCUCUCUCUUUCUCUCUCUUACACACACACACACACACUCACUAAAGUGAUCAUCUUAAAAGACGAAUGGGAAAGGUAGAUAUAUUAUCAUGGUAUAUAUAUUGGGAACACCAAACUCCGUGUAAGCAGCAUACUGUAUGACUUGUGAUCUCCCAAGUGUCGUACAUUAGAGGCAAAGCUUUGCAGCAGCACGAUUAACACAUUUAUUAUUUAAAUUUCAGCGAGUGGUGGUUCAUGUGGUGAAAAAGUGGGAUGAUUUGUCAAUGCCAUACCGACUGUUAUUCUACCUGACAGAAAUAAGGCCGUCCUGAAAACGGCACGGUUUGACCAAUCAGAUGAAAGGGGUGUUUCAGCACCACCCAUGAAAUAUCAAAGCCAUAAACUAAUUUUUAUAAAUCACAAACGAAAAAUGGGAAAUCGGGCCAAAAUCUAAAUUUCCGUUUGUUAGACUAAACGAAAAAAAAAUUAGCCGUCUUUUCAUUUCUCGUUAUUCCAUUCCAAAUAGGAAAUGAAAUCAAAAACGGACACGGUCCGUGUAUCUUUUGGUCAUUCGUUUUUUGAUUUAACAUAGAAAUUGGAAAAAUUAAAAACGGCACCUUUUUCGUUUUUCUUUUUUUUCAAACAAAGCGAAAAUCAAGAAUUCGGCUUGAUUUUUCGUUUUUCGUUCAGGGGUAGCAAAUGAAUAAACAACUUGAAUAUUUGAUCUCUAUGUAGACAGGAAUGAAACACCCCUUUCCGCUGAUUGGUCAACCAAACAUUAAACCGUACCGUCAUCAUUUCUUCUGCAAUUCAGCGCAGCAAAACAACAGUCCUCCACUGCUAUGGAUUCUUAACGCAUUUAUUGCAACUACAUUCAAUCUCUUUCUCAUCAAACAGCCAGACUAACGAAUGGCUUGACACAUACCGUACCGAGGCAGAGCAAGGCUUUCUUCUGUGUGUCCAUAAAUGCGGCAACCUACGCGUGUUUAUCUCAGAAAUAUUAUUAUUAUACUAGUUUAUCUAUAAUUUUAUAAAUUUCUUAUAAUUUCAAGCCAUUUGUAAUAAAAUAAAAAAAAUGUAUUUAAAAAAUAAUUAAAAAGAGUAGAAAGAAAACACAUUGUUACGAAUGCGCAGACAUGAGACAGAGUGAGAAUCCAAAUGCAAGCACCAACGUUUAGUAACAAAAAGGUAAUCCAUAAACAGGAGUAAUCCACAGGCAGCAGACGAGAGCAACGGCAAGAACACACAAGGGCAACGACCAAUAAACAACAACUGAACGUAAAGGUUUAAAUAGACAUUAACAAUGGGCUGAUAAGGGACAGGUGUUGGUGAUAUGAUGUCAUGGUAACAAGGCAAAACAGGAACCAAAACACAGGAAGUAAAGAUUGAAACAAAGAAAACCAAGAUUACGCUUCAACAUAAAAGUCCUACAAAACACAAGACAACACAGGGAUCGUGACACACAUACAGCAAUGUGAAAAUCAAAUAAUACAACAGCAAAUAAGUAAAAGUUCCUUACUGAUCAAUUAGUUUUUAAUGGAUCCAGAUAUAUACUGGUGUCCACCUUUGUAAGAAGAUGUCCAUUUUCAGUUGGAGUUGGGUAGCUGAAUAUUCCAUUUUAUAAAUAGAUUCAAGUUUUUCUAUCUAUUGGGCCAUUGUUGGAGAAUGUGGCUUUCUUCCAAUUAAUUUUCAUAGUUUUUUGUGCACUUAAUAAGAGUACAAGCAAAAUAUAAAAUGUGGAUAUUUUCGGACAAUCCCAAAAUAUAUGCGUGUGGUCUCCUACCUUCCCACAACCCCUCCAGCAUUUCUCUGCUUCUGGACGGUUAACAAAUUUUAAUAUUGCCAAUGGUGUUCUAAAAAACCUAAUUUUUGUUUUCCAGUCAAACUCUUUCCAGUUGUGACUAUUGAUUCCCUUGUGACAUUUUGCACAUAUACUUUCCUAUGUCUCAUCCUCAGUUUCGUUUAGUUCAGACUCUCACUUUGUCUUUAUGGAGUUUCUAUGUCUCUAUGGAGUGUAUUAUCUGUUGAAUCAAGAAAUAGUCUGCUAUAUAUGUGUGACAUAUGUCUAUUAAUAGAUAUUGCUUCUUUAUAUCAGUGAAAUACUGUUCUGCUUUAGUUGGGGCUUCCAUAAUUAUUUCCUUGUCCUUAUGAGUUGUAAUAUAGUUUCUUAUUUGUAGGUACCGAAAGAAAUCACUUGACGAUAACAUAAACAUUUCUUUAAGAUCAGAGAAUGAGUGCAAUGUGCUUCCCUUAAAUAACUGAUCAAUUAUGAUAAGACCCUUCUCAGUCCAUCUUUUAAAAGUACCAUCUUAACUGGAGGGUAGAAACUCAAGGUUAUCUGCUAUAGACAUGUCUCUUGAUAAGGUUGCCACUCCUCUCAAUUUUUUUGUUUUGUUUUCUUUUUCUCUUUUUAAAUGUUGUCCAAACUCUCAGAGUUUGCUUAACCCAGAUAUUUUUUUUAUUUUCAUCUUUUUCUUAGAUUGGGGUGUCAUAAAACUAGUGUUGACAAUGGCAUUUAGUACAGAGCACUGUUCUAUGUUAAUCCAUUCUGUUAGAACAAUUUUUAGAACUGUAUCUUUAUCGUUAUCUUUAUCGUUCUUGGUGCGAACGGGCCUUAAAGGAGAGUUUGCAAAGAAACUUCUGUUGAAAGAUGAAUCAGCAAACUGCAUUGGCUCUGACAGUAGCUGCAUCGUAGCAACUAAACUUUUACCAUGGGAACCUGGAGCACUGGAAUACUUGUCCAAUAGCUUCUAGAGUAAAAAACAAGGCGCUGUCUUUGACUAUAGUUAAUAGUUCCGAUGAAGGUGUGGUUCCACUGAGGGUGUGUCCUGGUC
Megalobrama amblycephala (Wuchang bream) is the source of this 5103-nucleotide RNA transcript. It is a transcript of the gene named glycolipid transfer protein domain containing 2b, with no coding region annotated. NCBI's taxonomy places the organism in Eukaryota, Metazoa, Chordata, Actinopteri, Cypriniformes, Xenocyprididae. The transcript is spliced from 3 exons. The record is from RefSeq and is a predicted model, not a curated record.